This is a long non-coding RNA of Mus musculus (house mouse), 5053 nucleotides long. RefSeq annotates it as predicted gene, 52392. The transcript is spliced from 3 exons. The record is from RefSeq and is a predicted model, not a curated record. NCBI's taxonomy places the organism in Eukaryota, Metazoa, Chordata, Mammalia, Rodentia, Muridae.
AGUGAAAGGGUAUUUCAAAAGCCUUAAGUACCAGACUCCCUGACAGCAUCCAUGGCGGAACAGCAGCCUCACAGUUUGCUUCGUCUAUGUGGCUGCCAGACAGUGUGGUGCUCCUUUCUUUAAAUCCUUAGAUUUCAUCGCCAUGUUAGUAAGCUGUGUCACGGUUGUUAACCUGCACAUGAGCCCGACAAAAGCCCUCCUUCCUAUCCCAGCUCCACACCGCACUCUGUAAAUGGGGAUGGGGUGGGGGUGUCCUCACUUUAGGAGGAAGACAGAUUUAGUUUUUCACUUAGUAACUAUGAAGAAACCAACACGGGCCAAGCCGCUUGGUGCUGAACAGAACAGCCACGGGCUGAGCCUGCGCAGAUGGAACCUAACAAUCUACAGGAGACAGACGAGUGCCUGUACAGCUCCUGGUAGGCUUCCAAGGAUUGCGAUAACAAAUUUUCUCUUCGGACUCACAAGAGGAAACUGAGAAGUCCUGACAAAUGUUAACCUCUGUGAGCUGAGCCGGAGAUCAGACCCGGGACCAAGGCUGUGGCAGGCUUUAUCUGCUGCCCCAUUCUGCCGCUAAAAAGGAAAAUAUUUUUUCUUUAAGCCAAUGACUCACUGUGGAGAAAAAUGGUGGGGGAGGGGCUUCCUCUUCUGGAGGUCAUUAAACAACAGUCAAUCUAAUCUGUGAAGGACAGAGGUGGCAGGAGUAAUGGCAGGAAGCAGGCAGAGGACAUUUAGGGAAUCCAAGCUCUGAUUUAGCGCACAGAGAGAAGGAAUGUGGGCUUUCUCCACACUCUGAGAUUCUGGGAGAGGAACGGCAGGGAUUUAAAGUGUCAACCACAAGGCUGACCUGGCAGCCAGCCCGAGUUUCUGUACUUUUAACUCUUCCUUAACUUUAAUUUUUCAACCCACAUCUGACUAGCUGCCUCACGGGGUUGGGGGUGGGGACUCUAUAACAUGGAGAGGGUCUAGGUGGACUUAAAUAACCUCCCCUCCCACCUCAAAAACCUCAUUUACCCACUAGAUGGUCUUGCAAGGUGGGUCUGGGGUUGGCUUGCCUUUUGUCCUGAAUGCUCCUGUCUGCCUAGCUCUUCCUUUGCAUGAUGACACUCACUGUAUGAGGGAAGCAUCUAGAACCCCACAGCUAACCCCACUACCUGUCAAUCAUCGCUCUCAACUUCCAACACAUUUGCUCUUUCAAACCACUGUCAGAGGUCUGCUUGGCUCAGAAACUCUUCCGGAAUCCCACUGGACACUUUGAACUCAAAAUAAUAUAAUUAGUGAUAAUAACCAACUGAUAAGUAUCUCCGAGUCCAUAAUGCUAGAGUAGAGUGCCAGCUAAUGACGGUGGCGGUAAGGAUUAUGGGAACAGAAAAUUACCAUAGAGCGACCAUCACGGCGGUGGUUGAUGGAGACAGGAAUGGAUGCGAAGGCCGGUGGAUGGAAUAUUUCCCACCAAAGAUGAGGAUAGGGCUGUGGUCUCUGAAAACCUCAUGACAGAACAGACUGUCAGUUAUGAAGGGGAAAGUGAGAAGCCAACUGGGAUCAAGGCUGGCGUCAUGCCCCUGUGAGAUCCACUAAGAUGGGAGAAGAAUCGCAUUUGCCAAGUGAGCUGUGGCCUGACUCUAGAAACAUCUGUGGGUCCUACCAGAAGGUCAAUCUGCAGUACAAAAAGGCUUUCUUUAAAUAUUCUCAAAAGACACAAAGAAAGGAAGCGCAUACCUGUUACAAACCGACAGAGACUAAAUUACUUACAUUUCAAAUUCCUUCCUCCUUCUCUUCCUUCCCAUUUCUAAGGGACGUGAAUACAGCCAGGCCAGGCCCCUGAUGAUGUUUGCUUUGAAGAUUUAGCAGUCAAGUCUGCUCUCUGGUGCAUAUUUGAGGACUUUCCCUUUUUUUUGAGACUUUUUUUUUCUUUUUCUUGACAACAUAUAGCAUCCCCUUCAAUUCUGCAGACUGACAUGUCUGGUGGCCCAUUACAAAGAUAUCACCUGAAGUUCCUUUCUGUGGCGUUACGUCUCCCACAGGGUAGCCUCAACCCAGCACUUCCCAGUGUCUACCCACUCACCUUGGCAUAUCGAACCCCAUUCACCCCCAUCUGUGGCUUCUCCCUCGGUGCAGCCACACCAUUUCCUCAGAUUCUACCAACUGUCGGCAUCAGCUGUGUUGCCCUAUGCCAAAUGUCUGAUCUUCCUCAAAGCCCCACUUACAGCCUUUGCCAUUCUCUUCAGGGCACGGUAGGUUGCCUUGUUCCCACCAUGCUCCUAAAGCCUUUGCGGUAUCCAAUGACCCACGUCGUGGUUAGCAGGCACAUGGUUCACCCCCGACCCUCAACAGAAAAUGUCUUAGGGAGGUGGGAACUGAGCAGAUGUUUAAAAAAAAAAUCCUUCAGUGCCUAGCCAGCCUGGUGCUUACCAUACCAUGUGCUUAGUAUAUGUCGGCAUCAAACCUCACAUCUGUGCAUCUGCUGAUGAGUAAGUGUGGCAGGGAACAACAUCAUAUAUUAAAAGCAGGUAAGCCGGGGCAGACUGCCCAUGCUACUUGCUAGUUAUUGGCAAGCUAGCUUAUCCUCCAACUAUAUAAUUAUAAAAAUAGGUGUCUACAUCACUGCUGUGAGAAUCAUCAGGGAUGCUGGGGAGGCAGGGGGUCCUGUGCUAUGACUAAAUCAGUAACAGCCCUGAUAACCCAGAAAUUAUGCAGAACUCUACCUCUAAAUCUGUCAGGAUCCCAUGAGGUUCAGGUCUGAGGUCUGCAUUAACAUCAAGGGAAUCUGCUAAGCUUUCUCUUGAGCCCCUGAAGCAGGUAUGCAUGAGCACAUGUAUAAUAUAUUGGAGUGGGGGCUGGUAGGUAGAGGGGUAAUUGUGUCCAAUUACACACAGGAAGGAAGUCAAACAAAAGUGAACAGGCACCUUAACUUCUAAAAGCACACUAGGACAAGGUAAAAUAUAUUCUUCCCCCAGGGAUGUGAGAAGGUACUUGAAUGGCGCUCGUUCUGCUGUCUCUGGGGACGUCCUUAGAGCGGAGGGCACCUGAACACUGCACAAAGACUGCCCGAGAACCAGCCAGUACAUUUCCAUGGUGGUCACUUUAGUAGGGCCUUCCUAAGCUGGGGAAAGGAAUAGUUAUCGUUGUGCUGAACAAGAACAUGAGCUAUAAAUGGGUCUUCAUUCAUGGUCAAGCAGUGGACAACUGGAACCCAGACACCAAAAACUGCAGUCAUAUUUUAUGUGUAAAACAAGUCCACUAUUAUUCCAUGAUUUCUAUGGCCACUGCUUGACUGAAUAGCUUGACCGAUUUUUUUUUGAUACCGAAAUUCCCUGUCAGGGCAUGAUGCCAGUGUUUGAGUGAAAGUAGAAAUUAAUCGCCGUGGCUUUCAGACCAGGGGGAGCUCUAGCAGGGCCUGUGGCUUGCUCUGCAGGGCCCAUUGACCAGCACCGCUCCAGUUGCCUCCUGGCCAACAAGACUGAGCCACCCUGCAAAUACAGAAACCCAGUGGCAAUGCUCUUGGCUCUACCCUGGACAUGAGUCAAGAGGCCAGAGCCAGGCAAUAGCAGUGGGGAGGAAGAAAGUGGAAAAGGCCAGCUACUGUUCCUGGGAACAAAAUAGCUUACGUCUUAUUGGGGGUAUGCUGGACCAGGGAGGUAGGUGCAUGGGGGAGGCAGGUACCAUGUGCCUGGCACAACUAUCCUUCCAUAGUGUUCAGAGCCAACAACAGAUGCAUCAACUCUUAGUCAAGAAUCUACAGCCUUCUCACCAGCCAUCCUGAGCUGUUUGCUCUCUAAUGUUCACUGUCUGGCUAUCGAACCGGUAUCAAAUAUUGCGCAGCCUCAUCUCCCCCACCCAGCGGAGAGCUGCUUCCCAACCUUUGUUCUCAGGAAUUCCAUGCCAGAGCUAGAGAGAUGGCUCAGUAGUUAAGAGCACUGGCUAUUCCUGAAGAAGAUCCACGUUCGAUUCCCAGCACCCAACUUGCCCCUCACAGCCAUCUGUAACUCCAGUUCUAGGAAAUGCUAUGUUUUCUUCUGACAUCAUCAGGUACCAGAUACACACAUGGUACACAGACAUACAUGCAUGCAAAAUACCAUAUUCAUACAAUUAAAAAGAAAGCAAAACAAAACAAAACAAAACACCCAAACAAACCACAAAGAAACAUUGAAAUUGGGAAUGGUAGAGCAGACUUUAAUCCCAAUACUCAGAGGCAAUGGCAGACAGAUUUCUGAGUUUGAAGCCAUCCUGGUCUAGAUAUUGAAUUCUACAUCAGCAAGGGCUACAUAGUGAAACCCUGUCCCACCGCAAAAGACAUAAAAAGAAUUCUGGGCAACUCUAAGCACAAACAGAAAGCAGGCCAGGUGACAAGGAUAACUCUGUAAAAAGUAGACAAGUAUCCAAGCUCCGACUGAUAGAGAGGGUGCCAACUACACUUUUGGGAAUGUUUGGGGGAACUUUUGCAGGGAUCCCAGACCCUACAGAGCUGAUACAGGAAACCAGAUUUUAUAUCUCGGACAAACAGAAGAGCGAGUGCUAAAGAGGCAGCUCGGUUAAGAGCACAGCUGUCUUGCGGAGGCCCCGGGUUCAGUUCUCAGCACCGAAGGGUUGCUCACUGCAACUCUAGUUCCAGGGGCUCUGAUGCCCUCUUUUGGCCUCUGUGGGCACUAGGCAUGCACAUAGUUCACAGAGGCACAGCAUUAAAACACACAAAAUAAACAAAAUCUUUAAAAGGAAAAGAAAAACACAUGAAAACAAAUGUCCAAGGAGGGAUGGACGAACAACAACAUAAGGAAAACCCUGGAAUUUAAGAAAGCCACGAACUCAGAAACUCAAGCUUUAACAUCGAUGUGAAUUAGUCAGUCACCAGAGCUACAAGGACAUCUUUGUGCCAAAGCCAUGGGCUAAAGGGAAAGUUUUCACUGAACCGAGAGGCAAGUGCCGAGUUAUUUUUUCCAGCCUGUAGUAAAGGCAAAUAUUUUUCAUAACACACAGAGGUCCACUUUAUAAUGCAGGAACCCCCACCUACAUGUCACGUUCCCCUUCCUUUUUUUGGGGCCUUCCUACUUACCCACCC